RNAcentral lists this ribosomal RNA (591 nucleotides) under Gibellulopsis sp. OTU054 AN-2016. RNAcentral describes it as "eukaryotic LSU rRNA". The stretch from base 204 to 357 matches the Rfam family "5.8S ribosomal RNA". Lineage: Eukaryota; Fungi; Ascomycota; Sordariomycetes; Glomerellales; Plectosphaerellaceae. The record is from RNAcentral.
AAUUAGAGGAAGUAAAAGUCGUAACAAGGUCUCCGUUGGUGAACCAGCGGAGGGAUCAUUACCGAGUACUAUAACUCAUAACCCUUUGUGAACCUUCAUACCUGUUGCUUCGGCGGCGCGCCUCUCGGGGCGUGCCCGCCGGCAUUAUCAGAAUCUCUGUUCGAACCCGACGAUACUUCUGAGUGUUCUAAGCGAACUGUUAAAACUUUCAACAACGGAUCUCUUGGCUCCAGCAUCGAUGAAGAACGCAGCGAAACGCGAUAUGUAAUGUGAAUUGCAGAAUUCAGUGAAUCAUCGAAUCUUUGAACGCACAUGGCGCCUUCCAGUAUCCUGGGAGGCAUGCCUGUCCGAGCGUCGUUUCAACCCUCGAGCCCCCGUGGCCCGGCGUUGGGGACCUGCCCAGGCAGUCCCCGAAAACCAGUGGCGGACCCGACGGGCCCUUCCUUUGCGUAGUAACAUCUGCCUCGCAUCGGGAGCCCCCGGGCUAUCCGGCCUCUAAACCCCCCUCAAGCCCGCUCCGGCGGCACCAAGGUUGACCUCGGAUCAGGUAGGAAUACCCGCUGAACUUAAGCAUAUCAAUAAGGCGGAGGA